GUGCCAGCCGCCGCGGUAAUACAGAGGGUGCAAGCGUUAAUCGGAAUUACUGGGCGUAAAGGGAGCGUAGGUGGCUCUAUAAGUCAGAUGUGAAAUCCCCGGGCUUAACCUGGGAACUGCAUCUGAAACUGUAGAGCUAGAGUAUGUGAGAGGAAGGUAGAAUUCCAGGUGUAGCGGUGAAAUGCGUAGAGAUCUGGAGGAAUACCGAUGGCGAAGGCAGCCUUCUGGCAUAAUACUGACACUGAGGCUCGAAAGCGUGGGUAGCAAACAGGAUUAGAUACCCUGGUAGUCCACGCCGUAAACGAUGUCUACUAGUCGUUGGGUCCCUUGAGGACUUAGUGACGCAGCUAACGCAAUAAGUAGACCGCCUGGGGAGUACGGCCGCAAGGUUAAAACUCAAAUAAAUUGACGG
Molecule: ribosomal RNA, 412 nt
Filed under: uncultured bacterium
Lineage: Bacteria
Description: bacterial SSU rRNA
Rfam family: Bacterial small subunit ribosomal RNA
Source: RNAcentral